CACUGAGAAGCUAAAACGGGAUUAAGCACUAGCCUUUUAAGCUAGAAUCUGGUGACCCCCAAUCACCCUUAGUGG
This 75-nucleotide transfer RNA is filed under the name Pomacanthus xanthometopon (yellowface angelfish). RNAcentral describes it as "tRNA-Lys". Lineage: Eukaryota; Metazoa; Chordata; Actinopteri; Pomacanthidae. The record is from RNAcentral.